GGGGGUGAACGGUCUCGACUUCGGACGUCGAGAUAGGUGAAGCGAGCCGAGGAAGACGACGAUGAUCUCGUAAACCAAUAAUGUCGUAACCAAUUAAGCGCCGAUUCUAAUCAGCGCGACUUCGCUCUUGCUGCCUAAGCGGUAGAGCGAGUCUGUCAGACCGGGAGGCCUCCGGCCCGGACCCUGGCAUCGACUAGGAGGAUCACCAACCGACCCGGUCGCGGGGUCGCGCGGGACAUUUCACAGCGACUGGGCCCGUCACCGCAUCUUGUGCACACGAAUGCGGGGGCCGAGUAGAGGCAUAGUGCACUGCGCUCGGAGAAGCCCUAUCAAACCGCCGAAGGACCCGGGUUCGAUUCCCGGCACCUCCACGA
RNAcentral lists this transfer-messenger RNA (374 nucleotides) under Antricoccus suffuscus. RNAcentral describes it as "Standard tmRNA". It matches the Rfam family "transfer-messenger RNA". From Rfam's summary of the family: Bacterial tmRNA, also known as 10Sa RNA or SsrA, is named for its dual tRNA and mRNA-like properties. Its role is to liberate the mRNA from a stalled ribosome. Lineage: Bacteria; Bacillati; Actinomycetota; Actinomycetes; Geodermatophilales; Antricoccaceae. The record is from Rfam by way of RNAcentral.